AGAGUUUGAUCCUGGCUCAGAACGAACGCUGGCGGCAUGCCUAACACAUGCAAGUCGAACGAAGCCUUCGGGCUUAGUGGCGCACGGGUGCGUAACACGUGGGAAUCUGCCCUUGGGUACGGAAUAACAGUGAGAAAUUACUGCUAAUACCGUAUGAUGUCUUCGGACCAAAGAUUUAUCGCCCAGGGAUGAGCCCGCGUAGGAUUAGCUAGUUGGUGAGGUAAAGGCUCACCAAGGCUACGAUCCUUAGCUGGUCUGAGAGGAUGAUCAGCCACACUGGGACUGAGACACGGCCCAGACUCCUACGGGAGGCAGCAGUGGGGAAUAUUGGACAAUGGGCGAAAGCCUGAUCCAGCAAUGCCGCGUGAGUGAAGAAGGCCUUCGGGUUGUAAAGCUCUUUUACCCGGGAAGAUAAUGACCGUACCGGGAGAAUAAGCCCCGGCUAACUCCGUGCCAGCAGCCGCGGUAAUACGGAGGGGGCUAGCGUUGUUCGGAAUCACUGGGCGUAAAGCGUGCGUAGGCGGCCAUUCAAGUCAGAGGUGAAAUCCCAGGG
This 553-nucleotide ribosomal RNA is filed under the name uncultured freshwater bacterium. RNAcentral's name for it is "bacterial SSU rRNA". It matches the Rfam family "Bacterial small subunit ribosomal RNA", at positions 8 to 607 of the family's 1533-position model. The record is from RNAcentral.